AGUGAACGCUGGCGGUAGGCCUAACACAUGCAAGUCGAACGGCAGCACAGGAGAGCUUGCUCUCUGGGUGGCGAGUGGCGGACGGGUGAGGAAUACAUCGGAAUCUACUUUUUCGUGGGGGAUAACGUAGGGAAACUUACGCUAAUACCGCAUACGACCUACGGGUGAAAGCAGGGGAUCUUCGGACCUUGCGCGAUUGAAUGAGCCGAUGUCGGAUUAGCUAGUUGGCGGGGUAAAGGCCCACCAAGGCGACGAUCCGUAGCUGGUCUGAGAGGAUGAUCAGCCACACUGGAACUGAGACACGGUCCAGACUCCUACGGGAGGCAGCAGUGGGGAAUAUUGGACAAUGGGCGCAAGCCUGAUCCAGCCAUACCGCGUGGGUGAAGAAGGCCUUCGGGUUGUAAAGCCCUUUUGUUGGGAAAGAAAUCCAGCUGGUUAAUACCCGGUUGGGAUGACGGUACCCAAAGAAUAAGCACCGGCUAACUUCGUGCCAGCAGCCGCCGCCG
RNAcentral lists this ribosomal RNA (506 nucleotides) under uncultured bacterium. Its description in RNAcentral is "partial 16S ribosomal RNA". It matches the Rfam family "Bacterial small subunit ribosomal RNA", at positions 29 to 523 of the family's 1533-position model. The record is from RNAcentral.